RNAcentral lists this transfer RNA (75 nucleotides) under Faecalitalea cylindroides. RNAcentral's name for it is "tRNA-Thr". It matches the Rfam family "tRNA". From Rfam's summary of the family: Transfer RNA (tRNA) molecules are approximately 80 nucleotides in length. Lineage: Bacteria; Bacillati; Bacillota; Erysipelotrichia; Erysipelotrichales; Erysipelotrichaceae. RNAcentral also lists the same sequence under 3 other names. The record is from RNAcentral.
GCCGACGUAGCACAGGGGUAGUGCAACUCAUUCGUAAUGAGUAGGUCGGGGGUUCAAAUCCCUCCGUCGGCACCA